CGGAAGGUCCGGGCGUUAUCCGGAUUUAUUGGGUUUAAAGGGAGCGCAGGCCGUCCUUUAAGCGUGCUGUGAAAUGCCGCGGCUCAACCGUGGCACUGCAGCGCGAACUGGAGGACUUGAGUACGCACGAGGUAGGCGGAAUUCGUGGUGUAGCGGUGAAAUGCUUAGAUAUCACGAAGAACUCCGAUUGCGAAGGCAGCUUACCGGAGCGCAACUGACGCUGAGGCUCGAAAGCGCGGGUAUCGAACAGGAUU
Molecule: ribosomal RNA, 254 nt
Filed under: uncultured bacterium
Lineage: Bacteria
Description: partial 16S ribosomal RNA
Rfam family: Bacterial small subunit ribosomal RNA
Source: RNAcentral